RNAcentral lists this unclassified non-coding RNA (343 nucleotides) under soil metagenome. RNAcentral describes it as "partial contains 5.8S ribosomal RNA, internal transcribed spacer 2, and large subunit ribosomal RNA". The stretch from base 1 to 120 matches the Rfam family "5.8S ribosomal RNA", at positions 35 to 154 of the family's 154-position model. The record is from RNAcentral.
GAUGAAGAACGUAGUGAAAUGCGAUAAGUAAUGUGAAUUGCAGAAUUCAGUGAAUCAUCGAAUCUUUGAACGCACAUUGCGCCCCUUGGUAUUCCGAGGGGCAUGCCUGUUCGAGCGUCAUUACACCACUCAAGCACUGCUUGGUAUUGGGCAUCGUCCGUCGAAAGGCGGGCGUGCCUCGAAGACCUCGGCGGGGUUUCUCCAACUUCGGGCGUAGUAGAGUUAAAUCGAACGUCUUAUAAGCUUGGUGGGACUCCAUUGCCGUUAAACCUUUUAUUUUCUAGGUUGACCUCGGAUCAGGUAGGGAUACCCGCUGAACUUAAGCAUAUCAAUAAGCGGAGGA